RNAcentral lists this ribosomal RNA (927 nucleotides) under Lactiplantibacillus plantarum. Its description in RNAcentral is "bacterial SSU rRNA". It matches the Rfam family "Bacterial small subunit ribosomal RNA", at positions 1 to 935 of the family's 1533-position model. Lineage: Bacteria; Bacillati; Bacillota; Bacilli; Lactobacillales; Lactobacillaceae. The record is from RNAcentral.
UGAUCGGGCUUCAGCAGUCGAACGAACUCUGGUAUUGAUUGGUGCUUGCAUCAUGAUUUACAUUUGAGUGAGUGGCGAACUGGUGAGUAACACGUGGGAAACCUGCCCAGAAGCGGGGGAUAACACCUGGAAACAGAUGCUAAUACCGCAUAACAACUUGGACCGCAUGGUCCGAGUUUGAAAGAUGGCUUCGGCUAUCACUUUUGGAUGGUCCCGCGGCGUAUUAGCUAGAUGGUGGGGUAACGGCUCACCAUGGCAAUGAUACGUAGCCGACCUGAGAGGGUAAUCGGCCACAUUGGGACUGAGACACGGCCCAAACUCCUACGGGAGGCAGCAGUAGGGAAUCUUCCACAAUGGACGAAAGUCUGAUGGAGCAACGCCGCGUGAGUGAAGAAGGGUUUCGGCUCGUAAAACUCUGUUGUUAAAGAAGAACAUAUCUGAGAGUAACUGUUCAGGUAUUGACGGUAUUUAACCAGAAAGCCACGGCUAACUACGUGCCAGCAGCCGCGGUAAUACGUAGGUGGCAAGCGUUGUCCGGAUUUAUUGGGCGUAAAGCGAGCGCAGGCGGUUUUUUAAGUCUGAUGUGAAAGCCUUCGGCUCAACCGAAGAAGUGCAUCGGAAACUGGGAAACUUGAGUGCAGAAGAGGACAGUGGAACUCCAUGUGUAGCGGUGAAAUGCGUAGAUAUAUGGAAGAACACCAGUGGCGAAGGCGGCUGUCUGGUCUGUAACUGACGCUGAGGCUCGAAAGUAUGGGUAGCAAACAGGAUUAGAUACCCUGGUAGUCCAUACCGUAAACGAUGAAUGCUAAGUGGUUGGAGGGUUUCCGCCCUUCAGUGCUGCAGCUAACGCAUUAAGCAUUCCGCCUGGGGAGUACGGCCGCAAGGCUGAAACUCAAAGGAAUUGACGGGGGCCCGCACAACCGGUGG